Molecule: small RNA, 604 nt
Filed under: Pongo abelii (Sumatran orangutan)
Lineage: Eukaryota; Metazoa; Chordata; Mammalia; Primates; Hominidae
Description: processed transcript
Source: RNAcentral
UUUGCCGGCUCCCGAGCCGCCAGACGCUCGGAGGGAGCCCGGCCGGCUCGUAUUGGGCGGCCGGGAGGGAGGGCGCCCCGGGUCACGACGGCGCCCGCAAGCCGAGCGCGGCCGGGACGUGCACCAUGGACCCAAAGGCGGGCGGCGGCGGCGAGGAGGACGACUGCGUGGACUCGGGCGCCGAGACCGGAGGAUUCUCAAAGUAGCUGGUGAUCUAUUCCAAACCAAGUUUGGGCAAGGUAUGAGACAUUUCAUUUUCAACACACUGUGUCUGAGGUGUUGCAAGACAUCCAGGUAAAGAUGAUGAAUCAGCAGUUGGGUAUAUUUGUCUGAAACUCAGAAGGGAGGUCUGCACAAUGACAUUGCAUUUGGGUACUAAAAAUGGCAAUGGAAGCUCUGGGAGAGACUAAAUCAACUGAAGAUAAGGAAAUGGAGACUCAGAGGGCACAUGGCUCGUUAGAGGCAUGAAUUGAAGCCUGGAUCUCCAGUGUGCUUCCCACCUAGUGAAGCUGCGUCUCCAGGAGCUGUUUGAUCUGUAAUUAAUUCUUGUUUUCUGCUCAGACAUUUUCUUUUGCUUGAAAUGCUGCUGCUGCUGUCUCACCCA